ACGAACGCUGGCGGCGUGCUUAACCCAUGCAAGUCGCACGGAAAGGCCUCAGCUUGCUGGGGUACUCGAGUGGCGAACGGGUGAGUAACACGUGGGUGAUCUGCCUUGCACUCUGGGAUAAGCUUGGGAAACUGGGUCUAAUACCGGAUAUGAACUGCCUUUAGUGUGGUGGUUGGAAAGUUUUUUCGGUGCAAGAUGAGCUCGCGGCCUAUCAGCUUGUUGGUGGGGUAAUGGCCUACCAAGGCGUCGACGGGUAGCCGGCCUGAGAGGGUGUACGGCCACAUUGGGACUGAGAUACGGCCCAGACUCCGACGGGAGGCAGCAGUGGGGAAUAUUGCACAAUGGGCGGAAGCCGGAUGCAGCGACGCCGCGUGGGGGAUGACGGCCUUCGGGUUGUAAACGCCUUUCGACAGGGACGAAGCUUUUUGUGACGGUACCUGUAGAAGAAGCACCGGCUAACUACGUG
Molecule: ribosomal RNA, 466 nt
Filed under: uncultured bacterium
Lineage: Bacteria
Description: partial 16S ribosomal RNA
Rfam family: Bacterial small subunit ribosomal RNA
Source: RNAcentral